Molecule: small RNA, 82 nt
Filed under: Flavobacterium saliperosum
Lineage: Bacteria; Pseudomonadati; Bacteroidota; Flavobacteriia; Flavobacteriales; Flavobacteriaceae
Description: Flavo-1 RNA
Rfam family: Flavo-1 RNA
Source: RNAcentral
UUUUAGCCCUGAUUGUAGUGGAAAUGACUUUAGCAAAGUUCAAACUUUGAUAAAGUUAUUGCAACGGAAAGCAGGAAAAUGG